Molecule: ribosomal RNA, 440 nt
Filed under: uncultured bacterium
Lineage: Bacteria
Description: partial 16S ribosomal RNA
Rfam family: Bacterial small subunit ribosomal RNA
Source: RNAcentral
CAGACGGGUGGCAGCAGUGGGGGAUAUUGCACAAUGGGGGGAACCCUGAUGCAGCGACGCCGCGUGGGUGAAGAAGCGCCUCGGCGCGUAAAGCCCUGUCAGCAGGGAAGAAAAUGACGGUACCUGAAGAAGAAGCCCCGGCUAACUACGUGCCAGCAGCCGCGGUAAUACGUAGGGGGCAAGCGUUAUCCGGAUUUACUGGGUGUAAAGGGGGCGCAGACGGCGAUGCAAGCCAGGAGUGAAAGCCCGGGGCCCAACCCCGGGACUGCUCUUGGAACUGCGUGGCUGGAGUGCAGGAGGGGCAGGCGGAAUUCCUGGUGUAGCGGUGAAAUGCGUAGAUAUCAGGAGGAACACCGGUGGCGAAGGCGGCCUGCUGGACUGCAACUGACGUUGAGGCCCGAAAGCGUGGGGAGCAAACAGGAUUAGAUACCCGUGUAGUC